AUGAACGCUGGCGGCGUGCCUAAUACCUGCAAGUCGAGCGAACAGAUGAGGAGCUUGCUCCUCUGACGUUAUCGGCGGACGGGUUAGUAACACGUGGAUAACCUACCUAUAAGUCUGUGAUAACUUCGGGAAACCGGAGCUAAUACCGGAUAAUAUAUUUAACCGCAUGGUUCAAUAGUUAAAGACGGUUUUGCUUUCACUUAUAGAUUGAUCCGCGCCGCAUUAGCUAGUUGGUAAGGUAACGGCUUACCAAGGCGACGAUGCGUAGCCGACCUGAGAGGGUGAUCGGCCAAACUGGAACUGAGACACGGUACAGACUACUACGGGAGGCAGCAGUAGGGAAUCUUCCGCAAUGGGCGAAAGCUUGACGGAGCAACGCCGCGUGAGUGAUGAAGGUCUUCGGAUCGUAAAACUCUGUUAUUAGGGAAGAACAAAUGUGUAAGUAAAUAUGCACGUCUUGACGGUACCUAAUCAGAAAGCAACGGCUAACUACGUG
Molecule: ribosomal RNA, 496 nt
Filed under: uncultured bacterium
Lineage: Bacteria
Description: partial 16S ribosomal RNA
Rfam family: Bacterial small subunit ribosomal RNA
Source: RNAcentral